ACCUCCGUAGCUCAGCGGCAGAGCAGAGGCCUUUUAAGCCUAUGAGCGCAGGUUCGAGUCCUGCCGGGGGUACCA
RNAcentral lists this transfer RNA (75 nucleotides) under SAR202 cluster bacterium. RNAcentral describes it as "tRNA-Lys". It matches the Rfam family "tRNA". From Rfam's summary of the family: Transfer RNA (tRNA) molecules are approximately 80 nucleotides in length. The record is from RNAcentral. Lineage: Bacteria; Bacillati; Chloroflexota; Dehalococcoidia.